UACGGAGGGGGCUAGCGUUGUUCGGAAUUACUGGGCGUAAAGGGCGCGUAGGCGGCUUGGCAAGUCAAAGGUGAAAUCCCUCGGCUCAACUGAGGAACUGCCUUUGAAACUGCCUGGCUUGAGGCCGGGAGGGGGUAGCGGAAUUCCCAGUGUAGCGGUGAAAUGCGUAGAUAUUGGGAGGAACACCAGUGGCGAAGGCGGCUACCUGGACCGGUUCUGACGCUGAUGCGCGAAAGCGUGGGUAGCAAACAGG
RNAcentral lists this ribosomal RNA (253 nucleotides) under uncultured bacterium. Its description in RNAcentral is "partial 16S ribosomal RNA". It matches the Rfam family "Bacterial small subunit ribosomal RNA", at positions 524 to 776 of the family's 1533-position model. The record is from RNAcentral.